GGGGUUGUGGCUCAGUGGUAGAGCAGUUGCCUGGCAUGUGGGAGGGCCUGGGUUCGAUCCCCAGCACCA
RNAcentral lists this transfer RNA (69 nucleotides) under Ictidomys tridecemlineatus (thirteen-lined ground squirrel). RNAcentral describes it as "Spermophilus tridecemlineatus (thirteen-lined ground squirrel) tRNA". It matches the Rfam family "tRNA". From Rfam's summary of the family: Transfer RNA (tRNA) molecules are approximately 80 nucleotides in length. Their secondary structure includes four short double-helical elements and three loops (D, anti-codon, and T loops). Further hydrogen bonds mediate the characteristic L-shaped molecular structure. tRNAs have two regions of fundamental functional importance: the anti-codon, which is responsible for specific mRNA codon recognition, and the 3' end, to which the tRNAs corresponding amino acid is attached (by aminoacyl-tRNA synthetases). tRNAs cope with the degeneracy of the genetic code in two manners: having more than one tRNA (with a specific anti-codon) for a particular amino acid; and 'wobble' base-pairing, i.e. permitting non-standard base-pairing at the 3rd anti-codon position. The record is from Rfam by way of RNAcentral. Lineage: Eukaryota; Metazoa; Chordata; Mammalia; Rodentia; Sciuridae.